RNAcentral lists this non-coding RNA (37 nucleotides) under Methanosarcina acetivorans C2A. The record is from RNAcentral. Lineage: Archaea; Methanobacteriati; Methanobacteriota; Methanomicrobia; Methanosarcinales; Methanosarcinaceae.
AUUCGAGAGCAAAAUCCACUAAAACAGGGAUUGAAAC